CACUCAAUCAGAUCAUCCUCCGCCACUUUCUCCACAGGUACAUUCAACUUUUCAACUUGUGCAUGUCUCUUCAACUUCUUAUUUACCGAAGCUGAAGCUGAAGCAAAAGCAAAAUCUUCAGAAUCAUCAUCCACAUAAUGAUCAUCGUACUCAAUCAGAUCAUCUUCCACCUUUACUUUCUCCAAAGGUACAUUCGUCUUUUCAACUUUUGCAUGUCUCUUCAACUUCUUAUUUACCGAAGUUGAAGCUGAAGCAAAAGCAGAAUCUUCACAAUCAUCGUCCACAGAAUUAUCAUCGCACUCAAUCGGAUCACCUUCCACAGGUACAUUAAUCUUUUCAAAUUCUACAUGUCUCUUCGACUUCUUAUAUAACGAAGCAAAAGUAGAGUCUAAUGAAUCGGGUGAGUCCACUACUGCCAUAUAAGGUUUACGUUUGCUCCCCAUUGCUACGGUGAAUUGGGGUAAUAUGGAAAGGGUGAAGUGUUGUGAUAUAUGUAGAGUUUAUCGAGAGUUGUGAGGGAAAUUUUGAAACACAGUGGUGAACGCGGGAACCUCCGGAUUUGAAGCCAUUUUACGUAGUGGAUUGGAUUGUGUACCGUUGAGUCCGCUUAAUGACUAAUUUGAGCUAACGAUUGACAUUUAGUAGGCGUUGGCAUGGAAUAUUUUUCACUUUUUCCAAAAAAAAAUUAUUUCACUUUACAAGUUUUCACGUUUCUCACUUUUAUUUCUCAUACAAAACUUAAAAUAUAAUUUUAAUUUAUAUUUGUAGUCAAACACAGUAUUAACUCUAACUUCAACUUCAAAAAAAAUAUUUUUUCCGUUCCAUUUUAUGUGUUGUUAUUUGACCGAACACGGAGUUUAAGAAAUAAGUAAAGACUUAAUACUUUUUUACCAAAUUGUUCUUCAUUAAAACAAUGUACUAUUAUUAUUUUUAAUUAAAUGGGCCAUUAUAAGUGGAACAAUAAGGGUGAAAGUGUAUCAUGUCUUUAAAUAAUUAUCAAAUAAAAAAAUGUGACAUUCUUUUUGGGACGGAUAAAAAAAAAAUGAUAACACAUAAAAUAAAACGAAGAAAGUAUUAUUUUCAUGGUCAAAUGGGGUUAACAUUGAUUUGAAAUUUUGAAAAGGUACACGUGAAAAGCUUUUUAACACUUGUCCAAAGUAUGUCGUUAAGGACAAUUUGACCGAUGAUGGAUAUAUUUAGCUAAUAUUUUUAAAGUAGAGGAAUAAACUUAGUCCUAAGUAUUACAGCGAUAGUAAAUUUAGCCUCAAAGUAUGACGAAACAUAUAUUUAAUUAAUUUUCAAAGUAAAAAGGUAAUUUAAUUCUUUUUCCCUUUUACUACUCAUUACUUUUAUUUUUACUUUUAGAGGUAGUUUGAUAUGAGGUAUAAAGUAUAAUAAUAGUUUUGGGAUAAAAUACAUGAUAAUUCUUUCAUGUGUUUGAUUGAAGGUAAUUAGUUAGUCUCGAAAUUAUUUAUCUCACAGUUUAUACUAUAGUGAUGGGAUAAUUUAUUCCACAUAUAUAAUGAAAUAACUAAUUCUGAAAUUAAUUAUCUCGAGAUAACUUGAUUCGAUCAAACGAUCACUUGUUACAUUUCGUCUCUCGAAAGUCAAAAUGUAUGAGUUUUGACUAACAUCUUAAAAUAUUUUUUUAUCAUAUUAAUAUAAGAAGAAUAGUAACUUAUAUCAUUUUUCAUAUAGAUUUCGAAUAUCUAGAAUUUAAAUUUUAAAAUAUUUGAUUAAUCCGUUUCAAUUUAGUUCAAGUUUAGUCAAAUUUAUAAAACAAAAAAUAUUGAGUGAAAAUGAACUGAGCUAGUAUUUUGGUUAGUGAUUGAUUAGUUGUAUAUGUGUUUGCCGGUUUGAUAACAACUGAAUAAGUCUACUUUGAAAAUAUCUUUUAAAAAAGUUUCUUAAAAGAAAUGAGGACAAUAAUUUUUUAAAUUAAUGUACGAAAAAUAAGUUAUACUACAUUUUAGCAUUUCACAUUGAUAUAACUUAUUUGAUCAAACUUAUAGAAACCCGUGGUGAAAUCCAUUCAAGGAAUGUAAAUUAAGGAAGCAUUUACUAUAAAUAUGCUUCAUUAAAAUAUUACUAGCUCGUACUAUUAAUUGGAACAAAUCAAUAAUACUGAUAUCUUGAGGCUUUUAGCCGUAGGUGACACAAGUCUUAAUAUUGAGUGGAGAUGACAAUUACUUUAUUAUGAAUUAAGAAAGUUUGGUAAGUUUGAGAAUAGCCCACAAGUUUUAAAAUUUAUACUUUGAUCCAAAUAUUUACCUAAUAUAACGGAAAACGGAGGGCAAAAAGGCGCAUUUCUCUCUCUUCUCAUCCAUUGUUGUUUUCUCUCUCUUAGCGAUUUUUGUUGUUCAUUGUUGCUGCUGAUUUAUUCAUCAUCUUCUACUUCAUUAUCAUCUUCAUCUUCUUCUUAUUGACUAUUGUCGUUGUUGUUGUUGUUACCGCUACUGUUGUUAUUUGACCAAUUUCUUAGGUCAAAUUUUAUUUCGUACAUCACUUUUCACUUUGGCAUUACUUCAUAGGAGACUUUGGUAAGUCAAAUUAUGAUUUUUAGUUGAAUUUUUCAUCUGGGUAACUACUAUUGUGCUGUUUUUUCAACAAUGGAUAGAACUCAAUCAUGAAUCCAACAUAAGAUCUAUCUGUUUAAACAGAUAAAUCAUUUGUUGCAACAAAUGAGACAUCUGUUUCAACGAAAGACUGAUAAGUUGGAUUCAUGUUUAUAGUUCUAUAGGUCGUAACAUGAAUUGAAUAGAUGGUCAUCUAUUGCAACAGAUGAUUUAUCUGUUUAAACAGAUUAGUUAUCUAGUGCAAUGUAAUAAAUAUAUGUUGCAACAGAUUAUUAAUCUGUUGCAACAGAACCUGAACUCGAUUCCAACAGACGUGUUGCCUAUUGUAACAGGGUAAAUAUUUAUUGCAACAGAUUAUUAACCUGUUGCAACAGAACCUGAACUCGAUCCCAACAGACGAUAAAUAUCUGUUGAAACAUAUUAGUAACCUAUUGCGAUAGAACCUGACCUCAAUUCCAACAGAUCAUAGUCUGUUGCAACAGGUAAGUCAUUUGUUGCAACAGGUUAAUUAUCUGUUGGAACAUGUCACUAUCUGUUGGAAUCAGCUUCAAAGGUGCCUCAGUACUGUAACAUCAAUCCCAACAGAUAUAUAGUCUGUUACAACAUAUGAUUCACCUGUUAUAACAGAUACUCGUCUGUUGAAAUCAGCUUCAGGAGCAUAACAUGAAUCCCAAUAGGUAAGCAAUCUAUUACGACUGAUUACACAUCUGUUGGGAUUCGUUUACGGUACUAUGAAAUCACAAUUAAUUUUUUUUAACAAAUGACUUUAUUUAGGUACCACUAAUAAAGGAAUCAAUAACAAUAGGGGUGGAUUAUCAUGCUCAAUGGAUCGAGAAGAGCAAUCGAUAUGUAUGGCAUUGGAACGAGGGUGAAAUGCUAGAGACGAUAGCUAUGACAGUCCAAAGUGAUGUUUCGUAUGAUGAUUUUCUGAACUUAAUCAUCAAUUAUUAUGGACUGAAUUAUCAAUCGGAAGAACUCAUCAUUAGCUACUGCACAGCUCCUUUAAAAAUCAGAGGGUACUGCCUUUCAAGAUAACCGAUCAGGUUCGGUUGCGUGCUUAUCUUAGUCAUUCAUCCAGGCCUGUGUUAAAGGUGUACGUGGUUGAAAAGACGAGAGAGAAUAAGAACCAGAACGUAGAAGAAGAACAACAACAAGACAUCUUUGAUGAUAGGUUGGAUGAUCUAGACAUGAAUAGUCCAGAUGAUGAUCAAACACCUACGCCCGUUGAUGCGACCAAUACGAUGUGCAGUUCUUCUCAAUCGACACAGUCUGGAAAUUUUCAAGACAACGGGACCGAUUUUUGUAUUGGAAUGUCAUUCAAGGAUAAGAAUGAACUAUCUACCAGUUUGUUUAUUUCUUUCUUGAAAAAAAGAUUUCAUAAUAAAGAAGGUGAUUAAUUUGAGCAUUAUCUUUUGCUUCAAAUGUACUAAUUCAAACUGCAAGUAAUGGUUGAGAGCGGUGAAGUCUGCAAGUUCUGACAGAUUCUUUAUUCAUAAACAUAAAAAGCAUCACACAUGUGGUUCGGAGCACAUCUCAAGCCAAAAUCCUCACACCACGGCAAAGGUCCUCGGUGAAUAUUUCAGGAGUAGUUUCCCCGAUGGCAAAGGGUCUUCAACAAGGGGUUAUGACCAAUCAACUCCUUACGGAAUUGGGUGUCCUGAUCAGUUAUUGGAAGAUAUAUACGGCCAUAGGGAUUGCCAAGGACUUGGUUAGGGGGACACUCGAGCAUGGGUAUGCAGUCCUGGAUGCCUGCCGUUAUGUGAUUGAGUCCACAAAUCCCGAAAGUAAGACGGCAUUGUAUCUUGAUGAAAACGGAAGGUUCAAGUACUUUUUUGUUUCCUAUAGUGCUUGGAUUCAAGGUUUUCGACAUUUGAGAAAAGGCAUAGCUGUAGAUGGUACCUUUUUGAAGAGCAGGUAUAAUGGAGUUCUGCCAGCGGCGAUGGCGCUGGAUGCGGAGAAUCACAUCUUUCUUGUUGCUUUUUGUGUAGCGGACAAGGAAUGUGAUGCCUCUUAUAGAUUUUUUUUUGGACAACUGUGAAGUUGUGUCAAAGAUACCGAAGAGUUGUGUUUUGUAUCGGAUAGGCAUCCAAGUAUUCCAAAGAUGGGUUCACAUUUCUUCACUUCAGCUUACUUUGGUUAUUGCAUCAGGCAUCUUGGAGAGAACAUUUGGACCAACUAUCAUAACAAAAAGUUUGUGACCCUUUUUUAUAGAGCAGCUAAAGCGUAUAGUAGAGAGGAGUUUUUAGACCAUUUCAAUCAAAUAACGGAUGUGAAUCCCAAGGUAGCAGAAUUUCUCGUACGUGUCGGUUUCAAGAGAUGAACCCGAGCAUUUUGUCCGAUAAAUAGGUACAUUCUUGUCGAUUUUAAUGUCUUAUUUAAGUUGCAAAUUUAGUAUGAUGUCGAACUAAGUGAUUUCUUUAUAUAGGUGCAAUAUUAUGAAAUCAAACAUAGCUGAAUCAUUGAAUUCAUUAUUUGGCAAUGAAAGAGAAUUUUCCAUCAAGACUAUGAUACAAGAAAACCAAGGAACACACGAAAUUGGCUCAAAACAGUCUAAACACACUCCAAAAAUAGUCCACUAAUUCAAAGAAUCGAGGACCCUUUUGAAGACCACUCUCGGAUUCAAGAAUGAAAUACAAAAAGGACAAUAUAACUAGGUGUUUGAAACCUUUUGCAGCUAAUAACAAACUAAAUUAACAACACAAGAUGAAACAACAAUGAGAAGAAGAAGAACAACAACAAAAACGGCUUCACAAUACAAGAUACAAUAUGGAUACAAGAUUACAAAAGAAAAAGGACAGAUAGAUAGACCACAUGAAAGUAUAAUGUUAAGAACCCAAUAAUGGUAACUCUUGGACCCUUAACACUACACACAACAAUAAACCUAUCUCUUACAAAUACACAAGAUCGGAAUCCACCUCUCAAGAAUCAAUGUUUCCAAGAAAAUGCAAACACAAGUGAUUUUACACUUGUCUAAGCCCUAAUUUCGAUUUUGGGUGCCUCAAGGAAAGAGGACUUGUGUUUAUUUGUAUUGUAAGACUUACAAUUUUAUUCAUAAACUAAGUAAAUAAAACCCUACAUGUUCCUUAUAUAUUACAAAACAAAUAGAAGUUAAAAUGACCAAAAAGGCCCUUCAAGAAUGGGCUGCCCCCUAGUGUAUGGAGUGGGCUAUUUUGGUGUGUAUUUGGGCCUUUAAUUACACUUCUCUUGCACAUUCAAUUGGUUGCUUCUAAUGCACACCCACAGAAAUUUAUUUCCGUGAUCAUUCUCGUAUCAUCCUCUCCAUCUUGAGAAGAAUUUGCCCACAAAUUCACGGCUUCACUUCGUUCAAUUGGCCACUUCAAAAACAAGCACUCAAAAUAGUCUGCAAAAUAUGAAGAACCCGAGAGCUCAAUAUGAAUAAGUCUCGGCCAACAUCUUCAUUUUGAACCUCGGCUUUCUCUCCAUCUUGAGACUUGGCUUCAAUCUUAUCCGACUCAAGUCUCCUUCCAUCAUAUAAGCAUCAUCGUAACUCCAUACACUUCAUGUCCCUUUCUUUCAUACUCCUCUAUAUGGACAUAUCGGUUUUGUAGAAGUGGAGUUUCGGUUGAGGAGGCUAUUUUGGUAAUGUAGAGCUUCGGUUGUGGAGCUUGGAUAGGAGGAAAUGGGCCUCCAAGUCCUUCUUGUGGGACUUGAUCAACUUGCGGGAGAAGUGAUCUACCUUGUUCUCGAUUUUGAGGGUAAUUAGUAACUUGGCUCAUGGAAUUUUGUGGUGAACUUUAAGGGUUGACUUUUUUAUACAAAGUCUCUGGGGCAGUGGUGAUAGAAGGGUUUUGUUCAUGACCACUUGAGGAAACAUGGAGUCGAGGAGUAGAAGAACGAGAGUUCCUUCGACUCUCCAUUCGAUCCAACCUCUCAUUCAUAGUAGACGUCUCUCCUCAGAUUGAGAAAUAGUUGUGAGCAUACUUUCCAUUCCUCGGUUGAUAGUUUCAAGUCUUUCCAAGAUAGCACCAAGAGCAUUGUUGUCCAUUGUAGCCAAGAAGUUACCUACAAAAUAAUAAACAAGUUAAUUGUUCAAAGAAUGGUCCUCACACUCUCUCUUUAAUCCUUUAUCCCUCGGAUUUUCUCACUUUUCAUCUCACAAUUAUUGUAAGUUUGCUUGUAAUCUGUGAGACGUUGAGAGGUGAACCGAGUGUGUACAAUGACUCAAAAUAAUAAAAACACACAAAGAAAUGUAAACAAGGAAAAAAUGGUUUCAAAACCAACUCACAAUCUAGUAAAUUGUCACUAGUUUGUAAGUUAGUAUUAGAAUCAACAAACGAACUAAUGAGACAACAAAAUGAAACUAAAAGAUCACAAUUUGAGCUUAAAAUUUUUGUGUGAACAGUAACUUGGGUAACGUGGCAGCACACCAUUGGUCACAGCCCCACAAUUAGUCAUUAGUUGAAGUUUACAAACUUUAGUUACUAUUUAAUGGAAACAAUUGGUUUUGGAGGGAAAGUAUAUGUCUUGAAUCUCCUUUAAGUCUAAUCUUCAAAAGGCAAGACUUGAGUUUGUACAAAUCUCACAAAACAAGGUCCCUUGAAAUAAGGAAAAGUUGUUGAAAUGUAGAUGUCAAGUCAAGGAAGUGAUGACUCAAGUCUUCUCACAAACAACUUUACAAAAAAAAUAUGAUAGAUAGAUAGACCACAUGAAAAUAUAAUGUUAAGAACCCAAUAAUGGUAACUCUUGGACCCUUAACACUAUACACAACAAUAAACCUAUCUCUUACAAAGACACAAGAUCGGAAUCCACCUUCCAAGAAUCAAUGUUUCCAAGCAAAUACAAACACAAGUGAUUCUACGCUUGUCUAAGCCUUAAUUUCGGUUUUGGGUGCCUCAAGGAAAGAGGACUUGUGUUUAUUUGUCUUGUAAUACUUACAAUUUCAUUCAUAAACUAAGUAAAUAAAACCCUAUAUGUUCCUUAUAUAUUACAAAACAAAUAGAAGUUAAAAUGACCAAAAAGUCUCUUCAAGAAUGGGUUGUCCAUCUAGUGUAUGGAGUGAGCUAUUUUGGUGUGUAUUUGGGCCUUUAAUUACACUUAUCUUGCACAUACACUUGGUUGCUUUCAAUGCACACCCAUAUAAAUUUAUUUACGUGAUUAUUCUUGUAUCAGGCUAUGUUUGAAAAAAUAAGCCAGAAGUAUGGCAAAUUUUUUAACGAAAGGCGUGUGCAAUUCAAGUGCCCAAAAAAAGAACCUGAUUUGUUCUCAAAAUCAAAAAAUAAUAUCAACAAAUUUCAGUUUGGGGAAUAGGUUAUUACCUCAUAAAAUAGCAGAUUACAAAUUCAGUAUCACCGGUCAUGGUGAUGUUGCCAUGGUUGAUCUUCAAAUAAGAUCUUGUAUGUGCAGAGUUUUUGACUUGGACAAAAUACCCUGUCCAUAUGCUAUGACAGAGCUUCGAGAUCAAUACGGUCAUAAAUAUGGAGCUGAAAUUUACGAGCACUCCUCUCAAUAUUAUUCAGUGGAAAAUAUGAAAUGACAUAUAGUGGCAUAUUACUCCGGUGCCUCCCAAAGAAUCUUGGGUUGUUCCUGUAGAGCUUAUGGGGAGAUUAAUAUCUCCUCCAUAUAAGAGGAGGAGUGGAGUCGAAGAAUUAUUUUCAUCAAGAAGAAACAAGUGCUCUGUAUGUAAGUCACUGGCCACAAAAGAGCUACAUGCCCAGAUUGUAAUCCACCAUGAUCAUUGUAAUUGCAGAAACUUGUAUAGUUGUUUAUUGUGGACUUUUAUAUAUUUAACUCAUUGUUGUGAACGUAAUGUUAUCAUUUAUUAUAUAUAAAAUAUAUUUUUAAUAACUUGUGCAUCAAUAAAAAGAGACAAAACAUGAACUGUUAAACAAUACAACAGACCACAAGUAUUUUCAAUAGAUUACCCAUCUAUGGCAACAGAUGGACAUUAACUGGAAGAACAUAACACAGUUCCAUAAAAUUGGAAUAUUUUUCUCCAAUAGAUGAUAAAUCUGUUGCAACAGAUAGAUAAUCUGUUGAUAGAAACCCAAUUGUUGAUCAAUCUAUUCCAACACAUGGUCCAUCUGUUGAAAGAACUCAAAAGCCAAAAUUGUUAUUGCUACUGGAUUCAAAAUUUCUCCUUACCUUCAGCCGUCGAUAUAUUAACAUGUAAAAUAUUUAGAAGAAGAAACAGACAGAAUGAAAAUUGAAUAAGAAUUAAAAAGCUAAAGUCGACUAAAAAUAAAUUUUUCAUUAAACGAAAAAUAAAAUACAUUAGGUAUAAAUCCGAUAUAAAAAAAUUAAAAUACAUAGCUAAAAUAAAAAACACAUUCUAAUUAUUAUUAUUAUCAUAAUCAUCAUCAUUAAUGACAGCCGGCCAAUCAACUCGCAGCAGCAGCGUCCUCAUCAGCCUCUGCAUCUCUCUGAACAUCGUCGCUCUCACGGCGACCAACUCCCUUUGUAGGUCAUUAACCUACCUCUGAAAUUUUCGAACUGUGUCACGUAGAAUAGCAAUAUCCCAAAUAGGAUCAACCAUAUCUAGAACGCGCAUAAAUUGACAAAUGUAAAGAAAAGAGUCCUAAUGUAAUACAACGUAUACUACAAACUAGUAGAUUUACACCGGAAAAAAACUUAACUCAACGACUAAGGAAUAUGCUCUUUGAAGAGAAGUUGUUGAAGAUAUCACACGAAAAGAAAAAAUGGAAUAAAUAAAUAAAGUUUAGCAGAAUGAAGAUUAAGGAGGGACCUAUUUAUAGAGAAUUGAAUCUGGAUGUAUAAGGACAAAAGGCAAGUCUAUUAAGCUCCAUUGUAUUAAUUAUAUUCAAACUGGUGGCAUUUUAUUUUUUGUGAAAAGUCGUGACUUUUUUGUUUACAUUAAUACUUCUCACCUUUUCAAAAUGGUUUUGAGAAGACUUGAUAACAGUCGUUAUUAUUGAGCUGUUACAAUAGAUCGUCCAUUUGUCACAACAGAUUUACCAACUGUUGCAACAUAUAGAUUAUCUGUUGCAACAGAUGGACCAUAUGUUGGGGAUGUUUUGAUUUCUUCUAACAGUUGUUCAUCAGUUGUAACAAAUGUAGAAUUUGAUUCAUCAACUGUUUUGAAUGUGUUAGAUAAAAAGUCAUGACUCCACCUCUUUUUUAAUAGUCAUCACAUGCGUGCAGAUGAAUAAACAAUGUCUGGUCUGUCGCAACAGAUUAUAAAUCUGUUGCGACAGAUAGACCAUAUGUUGGAGGAGAUGUUUUAAUUUCUUCCAACAGCUGAUUCUUCAAUUGCAACAGAUGGAGAUUUUGAUUCAUCAACUAUUUUGAAUGUUUUCAGAUAACAAAGUCAUGACUCUUCACACCUCUUUUUUAAUAGUCAUCACAUGCAUGCAGAUGAAUAAAUAACAAUGUAGUGUCUUUGAUGGGGUAGGAAGAAUAAGGUGUGUGCAAUGGAUCCAUUUUCAUGCGUAGGAGUUAUGUAUUAUUAAUCAGUCUACCGCAACAGACACACAUAAAGUGCAAUAAUUUUGUGAAUGCAGUUUUUUACUAAUUAGACACUGAUCCUUCAAACAACAUCCUGUAUUAUAUAGUUUAGUUUGAUAGGUAUGAACUGAUAAGGCUGAAGAGUUCCAAGAUGGUGGUGUCGAUACUCUGUUACAAUUUAAUGAUGAUCUAGCUCAUGUUUCUGUGUCAAGAUUGGGGAAGGGUUCAAGUUUUUGGCAACAGUGUAAAUAUCCAAUAGUGAUUGGACCGAUUUUAAUGGAGCAAUGGACUUCUUGAAAGGACUUCAAAGCCUCUCAUUGCAGCAAAUAACGAUGGAACCAAUAGAAAUUCCCCUAUUCCAAAUUUAUAUGGAUAGAUUGAUGGAGGAGACUUUGAUACAACAAAAGGUGCUUGGGAGAAUACCUGUGCGGGAAGGGGGGUGGAGAAAGCCAUAUAUCAUCUCAGACCUUGUUUAAGAGAAAACACAGGGUAGGAAGGAAAGUGUAGCGAAAUUGGCUAUGAAAUUAACAUGAAAAAUGAAAAAGCUGGAUGAGCUGCGAAUGUGAAAGGGUAUCCAAAAAUAAAAAUCCAUCAACCGUUGAAGUAAAAGAAAAAUGGUCAACAGGACUGGAGCUGGACACUUUGCUAGAGAAUGCAACUAGUGAGCGUGGCCUCAAUGAAGACUUUCACAAAAUGCAGGAACAAAACUCUAAGGAAGAAGUUUCACGAGCACAGGAAAUUGAUACGAUUAUCGGUCAGUUAAAACUUAAACCAACUACUCCUAAAUUAAAAAUACGGGAUCAAGCCAAGGUGCAAAUUUCUCAAGUUAAACUUUCAUCCCAUGCCUCCUAUUUAUGGCUUUAUUCAGGUCAAAGGCAAUGGAAACAACAAGGCAUGGGAUUUCUGCUCAACUUCAGACCUUUUUGGAUACACUUCCACAUUUGAAGCUCAUCUAGUUUUUCCGUUUCUCAUGUCAAUUUUAUUGGUCAGAUUCUCUAGAAUUUACUUGCUCGUUCCCCUGUGUUUUCUUUUAAACAAGGUUUGAGAUGAUAUAUGGCCUUCUCCACCUCUCUCUUCUCGCACAGGUAUUCUCUCAAUCACCUACUGUUGUAUAAUAGUCUCCUCUAGCAACUCAUCCAUAUAAAUUUAGACCAGGGGAAUUUCUAUUGGUUUCAUCGGUGUUUGCUGCAGUGCGAGGCUUCGGAGGCCUUUCAAGAAGUCCAUUGAGCCAUCAAAAUCAGUCCAAUCAAUAUUGGAUAUUUAUACUACCGCUAAAAACUUAAACCCUUCCCCAAACUUGACACAAAAACAUGAGCAUAAACGAUCAUUAAAUUAUAACAGGGUAUCGACACCACCUACUUGGUCCCUCAGUCUUACCAGUUCGAACCUAACAAUCUUAACUAUAAAAUGUCAUAUCUUGUUUGAAGAAUUAACGUUAAUAGGUAAAGAAUAAACAUUCACAAAAUCAUUGUACUGAAUGUGUGUUUUCAUGAUAGGUUAAUUAGUAAUACAUACCUCCCACAUAUGAAGUGGUUCUAUCUGCAAGCAGCUUAUUCCUCCGAACCCAUCUUUACUCUAGCCUUUAAUGUUAGUCGAGAAAAAAUAGACCCAGUAUCACUUUAUUUUAUCUACAAACAAGAGAAAUACAUUUGAUGUCAAAUAAGAGAAGAAUAAAAAGAACAUUACAAAAGGGUAACACAAAAUUGAGAAAAUCAACAGAUGACUAAUCUGAUGCAACAGAUUGCCCAUCUGCUCAACCGAUGAGGCAUCUAUUACAACAGAUGGAUGACAUGUUGUAAAAGAUCGGUCAGCUAUUGGAAUAAAUCAAACCAGUCUUGCUACUGAUUUGAUUUCUUCAAACAGUUGCUCCGUUUGUACAAAAAGGUAACACAAAAUUGAGUGAAUCAACAGAUUAUCCAUCUGUUCAAUCGAUGAGGCAUUUUGCAACAAAUAUAAAAAUAAAGAUUCAUUCAUUCAAGACUUAAUUCAACUGUCCUUCAAUGUUCUCAAUAAAUAGAAAACUAAUAAUUGUUAAAUCAUCAAUAGCAACAGAUGUAAAUAUCUAAUUUAAAUGACAUACAAAGAAGAAUACGAGAUGGAAAGAACAAUAGUGAACCAUACCUGCAAUAUGAAAAAAUCAAAGGGAUCAGAACAUCCAGUUCAGUCGAGAAAAGAUAUUUAUCAAAUGAGAUCCGAAAGGAUCCCCAUCCGAUAGAAGAGAAAAAAAAGCAAAAAGGAAAGAAAGAGAAUUGAGAAUAAAGAAGAAAGAGUGAUAGAUGAGUUUAGUUGUCUUGAGUUUUACUUAUGUUAUGGCUGAACAAGAGAGUAUUCUUCUAGAUAUGGGUUUUUAAUAUUCAUUAAUAACUUUUGAGAGGCACGAGGAGACGGUGACAUUGAAAAGACCAAAUAAAACUACUCGCUUAGGAGAUUUUUGAGUUAUCCAAGUAAUAUUUUUUACCGCCUUAGUAUUUUAACUUUUUUUUAUAUCGAAAAGGAAAUACCCAAAUUUCUUUUAUAAAAAAAAGUGUCUUAAAACAUUGAAAUGCAACAGAUAACAAUUUCUAUUUGAAAAUUUCCAAAACUCGAUCAUCCAUCGCAACAGACGUGUAAUAUGUUGCAACAUAUGACUUAAUAUUUUUGAUUAAUUCCAACAGAAAAUACAUCUUUUGCAACAGGUUUAACAUUUGCUUUUAUACAAUUUCAAUUGAUUUCACAUGUUAGACUAAUACCUUUAGGGGUUGUUUGGUAGAGUGUAUUGUAAAAUAUAAUGCAUGCAUUAGUUAAUGUGUAUUGCUAGUACCUUGUUUGGUAUGACUUUUUGCCUAUGUAUAACUAAUGAAAGCAUUAGUUAUACACUCUAUUAUGUAUUGAAGGGUGUAUUAGUAAUACGCUCUAUUUCCUAUGUAUUAGUAAUACAAAGACUUUAAAAACAUGCAUUAACUUAUUAAAUGACCUUAAUACCCCUUAAUUUCCCUCUCAAAAUAUUUCACCAUUCCUUUUUCUGCUAUUUUAAUUUGCACUAGUGAAUCGUUUCAAAACAUUUCACAAUUUCUUUUCCCACUAUUUGAAUUUACAACAAUGAAUGGUUGAUUUAAAUAAUUAUAACAUAUUUUUUCUUUGCUUCGAGAGUCUUUAAAACGUUUUAAAAAAAUUGAGACUAUUUCUUAAUUUUACGUCUUGUAUUUUAUUUUUGUUUCGACUAUGUUAAUUCGCAGGCGUAACAUUUUUGUGCAAAGACAAAGGUCUUGCCAUUAAUCCUAAAACUCUAUGUAAUAGUUCAACAAUAUUGUUUAUGUUUGAAAUAACAAAAGAACUUUGUUGCAAAAAAGUGUACAAAAUCAAAGAAGGGUAUUUUUGUAAACAAAAAUUUCUUUUAUAGAAAUUAUGUAAGAUGUAUUAUUUCUUAUACAUCAAACCAAUUACUAAUACACUAUAUUUUGCAUUAUUUUUAUACACUCUACCAAACGACCCCUAAUUGAUUAAUCUAGGACCAGGGGUGAGUUCUCAUAGGGUCAACUACAACUUUAAUUGAUUCUUUUGGCAAUUGAAUAAUGAGACGGUAUUGCGUUCCUCCCAACCAGAGUCAUUGAUCGAUCACUCUGAGCUGAACCGAUUCUUACCACCUCAUAUGUUAGACCAAUACCUUAAUUGAUUAAUCUAGGACCAGAAGUGAGUUCUCAUAGGGUCAACUACAACUUCAAUUGAGUCUUUUGGAAAUCGAAUGAUGAGACAGUAUUGCGUUCCUCCCGAUCAGAGUCGUUGAUCGAUCACUCUUAGCUGAACCGAUUCUUACCACCUCAUAUGUUAGACCAAUACCUUAAUUGAUUAAUCUUGGACCAAGGGUGAAUUCUCAUAGGGUCAACUACAACAGAUGACAGCCCCUAUUUUAUAAUUUACAAUAGAUGGGUAAUCUACCGCAACAGAUUACUUAAUUUGUUUGAUAAUUUGCAACAUGUUGAACAUUUAUUUUUAUACAAUUUCAAUUGAGUUCAUAUACCUAAAUUGAUUAAUCUAGGACCAGGGUUGGAUAAGUUCGUAGGGUCAACUACAACUUCAAUUGAGUUUUUUGGCAAUUGCAUGAUGAGAGGGUUAAAAAUUAUUCAUAUCUUUUAUAAUUUUAAAAAAUAAUUAAGAUCAAUUCGGACCAAAUUAACAUUCUUAAAACUUUUCAUUCUUUUCCAAAGUACAAAUCAACCCAUACAAAUCAUCCAUUUGCGAGAAAAAUAUUUCAUCAUUUCAAAUCUCGAGUUCUCACUCUUUUCUCUUUCUCACUCAAUUAUACAGUACAGACAACAACUACAACUACUCAACAAAUUGCCCUACCCUUCACAACAGAUCAAUUUUCUUCUCAUUUCCGACCAUAUAGGUGUUAUUUUUUACUUCAUUCUUGCUUGUAUCAGUCGUUUUCUCUAUUUUCGUGGGUAACAAAGUUCAAAAAGAGUUCUAUAUUUGUUAUUUUUUCUAAAAAUUAAGGGUUUUUAAGUUAAUGAUGAAAAAAAACUUUUAGUUUGUAUUAUCUUCGAGACUGAGAUUACAAUUUUGAGUUUUGAUGCUACAAUUGUAGAAAAAACUCAAGAAAACCCUAGUUUCCAUUACAGUGCUUCGGUGACUGUCGUGGUAUUGUUGGAUGGUGUUGUGGUGUUUGUGGUGGUGGUGGUCAUUGUCGUUAUGGUGGCACUGAUGGUGGCUGUUGGUGGCAUUGGUUGGUGGUGUUUGUGGUGGCAUUGGUUUGUGGUAUUUGUGGUGGUGUCGAUAUUCAUGGUGUUUAUGGCAUUGGUUGGUGGUGGCUGUUGGUGUGUCGUCAUUGGUGGUGUUUGUAAUAUAUUUUUAAAAAUUUAUACAUACAUUAAUUGUAAUGUAAUUUUUUUUCUAUUGUUUGCAGGUAAAACGUAUCUCCUAAAAGAAAACAAAAGAAAGUGAAAGUGGAUCAACAUCUGACCACCCCCAAAAAAAGGCUACAAAAUAGAGGGAUUCGGAGGAGCUUCUUGAACAAUCUCAAUCAGGGAAACAAAGUGAAGCUGAGAAGAGAUAUGAAAAUAAUAUUGAGGGAGGUGGACAAAGGUCUGUAGAUGGUGAUGAAGAAAAUAAAAGUAAGAAAUAAGAAGAAUUAGAGAAUAAGAAAGAGAAAGAAAAAGAGGAUGAUCAUCAACAUGAUGAUAAUAGAUCACCAAUGGGGCAUGAAUUAAUAUCGACAUCCCAGCAUGAUCCUAUCAAAACUUUUAGUAUUGACAAGUUUUAAGUUGCGAUGCUGAUAAAUGACAAAAAUGCAGA
This 15269-nucleotide long non-coding RNA is filed under the name Capsicum annuum. Its description in RNAcentral is "long non-coding RNA (CANN_LNC000661)". Lineage: Eukaryota; Viridiplantae; Streptophyta; Magnoliopsida; Solanales; Solanaceae. The record is from RNAcentral.